CGUUAUUAGUCGGGGUGCUUUGUGCUGAGAUGAUACCCGUGAACCUGAUACAGUUAAUACUGACGUAGGAAACUAACAGAAAUCAUAU
Molecule: non-coding RNA, 88 nt
Organism: Aggregatibacter actinomycetemcomitans D11S-1
Lineage: Bacteria; Pseudomonadati; Pseudomonadota; Gammaproteobacteria; Pasteurellales; Pasteurellaceae
Source: Rfam